This 465-nucleotide ribosomal RNA is filed under the name uncultured bacterium. Its description in RNAcentral is "partial 16S ribosomal RNA". It matches the Rfam family "Bacterial small subunit ribosomal RNA", at positions 338 to 795 of the family's 1533-position model. The record is from RNAcentral.
CCUACGGGAGGCUGCAGUAGGGAAUCUUCCACAAUGGGCGCAAGCCUGAUGGAGCAACACCGCGUGAGUGAAGAAGGGUUUCGGCUCGUAAAGCUCUGUUGUUGGAGAAGAACGUGCGUGAGAGUAACUGUUCACGCAGUGACGGUAUCCAACCAGAAAGUCACGGCUAACUACGUGCUAGCAGCCGCGGUAAUACGUAGGUGGCAAGCGUUAUCCGGAUUUAUUGGGCGUAAAGCGAGCGCAGGCGGUUGCUUAGGUCUGAUGUGAAAGCCUUCGGCUUAACCGAAGAAGUGCAUCGGAAACCGGGCAACUUGAGUGCAGGAGAGGACAGUGGAACUCCAUGUGUAGCGGUGGAAUGCGUAGAUAUAUGGAAGAACACCAGUGGCGAAGGCGGCUGUCUGGUCUGCGACUGACGCUGAGGCUCGAAAGCAUGGGUAGCGAACAGGAUUAGAUACCCUGGUAGUC